AUCAGGUAGGACUACCCGCUGAACUUAAGCAUAUCAAUAAGCAGGA
Molecule: ribosomal RNA, 46 nt
Filed under: Fomes fomentarius
Lineage: Eukaryota; Fungi; Basidiomycota; Agaricomycetes; Polyporales; Polyporaceae
Description: partial 28S ribosomal RNA
Source: RNAcentral